CUCAUUCUGCCGCUCCCUGGGUAAAAGGAGAUCUUCCAGGAAUGUUGGCAGAAGUGCCAGAACACUAAUCCUUCAGAGCAAAUCUUGUCAUUGCUAUACUUCAACUAACAUAUUGCUGUGAACGCCACCUGGAGAUGGGAGAAACAAACAGUGAUACUCACAGCCUGCACUUGGAGCUGCAGGUCAUUUUUCUCCUGCACCAGUGCUACCAUUUUCUCCUCCAGUUCCUUCCGCUUUGCCUCAGACUUUGCAAGCUCUUCCUUGGUUUUCUCAAACUCUUCCUUCAUGUUGGCCAUCUCCUUCUCAGACUCUGCACUCUUCAGCAAGGGCUUGAUCUUGAAGAACAGCUUCAUCCAGGGCCAGUGUUUGACAUUCAUGAAUGAACGAACGUUGUACUGGAUGCAGAAGAUGGACUCUCUGAAAUGAAAUUCAUGUGAUUAUUACACAGCUCUGCUUUGAUUAAUUUAAACUUCAUUAGCCAAAUACCAUGAGAAUUAAAUAAAUUUUAGAAAAGUCUACCUCCUUUCCACCAUUCUCUUGUACUCGACUCUCAUCAGGAAGCCCCUGCACCUGGCCUGUGUGCGAGUGAUGAUUUCUGCCAACUUGUCAUCUCUCAUCUCCUCCAGGAGUCCCAGCAGCCCAGCUUUGAAGAACACCUUGAGAGAGGAAAUGGUGCAGCAUGUCACUGUGAGGUAGUACAGGCUAAACACACAGCACCUUUCAGUAUCCUAACAGACCUUAAUGGCCAUGACCAGCAUCACCUUGGGCCUUCUCCCAUGCCCUCUGUCCAAGGGCUUAGAGCUUCCCUUAGUCUCAGACUUAAGCAUUCAGUCCCUGUCUGAGCUAUGUGUCAUGAGUACUGUUUCCAGUUCAGCCACAGCCUCAGCCACCCCCACACCUGAUCAUGGACCCCAGUGAGCUCUACCAUGACCUGCUCACUUACUUCCUGGCUUGAUGUUAAACAUAUGUCAUUGCUGUGUAUAGGUCCAUGAAUUAAAGAAUAGGGCCUUGCCUUGUUAGCCUACCUAUACCUGACCCUGCCAAAUCAUGAAAACCAAGGCUUUAUAGCUUCACCUCAGACCUUCCUUAUUGUAACAAACCUGCCUGAUGUCCUGGACUCCUGGUUGAAUCUGACUACCACUCCCAGGUCAUCCUCAUUUGCCUUGAUCGAGUACAGUGGUGCUGGGCACUUCCUGAUUGAGGUCUCCCCCUGCCAGCUCUGGUAUGUCAUUUUGCUGUGCCCCAUCCCCCUGGCAGAGCAGCCCACCCUCACUGCUUUUGACAAACUUUUAACACAGGUCUUGUUUUUACCUUGGUGUGACCAAAUUUGUACUGGGUGUGGUCCACAUCAAUGGACCCAAGGAGCUUCUCAGAAGCCUUCUUGUUGUCCAUGAACUGUCCCUCUGGGAUAGCACUGGCAUUGAGUACUCUGUAUCUGCAGAGGAAAACAUGAAGAAAUUGUCAAAACCACUACUGUGAUUGAACCCCCAGCCUUCUAAGACUGUCCCAUUGAACAAAUCUUAUGCCUGGAGACAGUUCAAUUCAGGAUAUGGGGAUUGUUUUUGAUAUAUAAUACUAAUUCUAAGUACUAGAGAAUCCUGAUCUCAGCAAUGCCCUGCCAUCAUGAACUGGCGGCGAAACAUUUCUAUAUUACUGUUCACUACCAAUUUAAAGUAUGAAGUUUUUUUUUUUAAAGUAUAUCACAAUACUCAGGCUCUUCAGCUUGGUCUGAAUGAGCAGAAAGGUGCAGUGCUCUUACCUCUGUUUGAAGUCAGCAUAGAGGACUCUGCUGGGGAACCCUUUCCUGCAGAUCCUGAUCCCUUCCAACACACCGUUACAGCGCAGCUGGUGCAGCACCAGCUCGUGCUCCAUGGCACCUGACAAAGACCAGCAUUAGUGACUACCCUGCUCUCUGACACUCAGGAAAGGAGCUUCUGCUGCUCAAGUUUUCCUCCUCUUGGAUGUCCUUACCAGGUGUUUUUGUUUCAUUUGGGAUGAUGCACCGUACAAAGUGAGGGUGGGUGCUCCUCAGGUUGGCCAUCAGCUUGUUUAAA
Pseudopipra pipra is the source of this 2054-nucleotide long non-coding RNA. RefSeq lists it as uncharacterized. The record is from RefSeq and is a predicted model, not a curated record. The transcript has 2 exons. Lineage: Eukaryota; Metazoa; Chordata; Aves; Passeriformes; Pipridae.